GCCGGGUGUGGUGGCGUGCGCCUGUAAUCCCAGCUACUUGGGAGGCUGAGGCAGGAGAAUCAUGUUAACCCAGGAGGCGGAGAUUGCAGUGAGCUGAGAUCAUGCCAUUGCAGUCCAGCCUGGGUGACAGUGCGAGACUCUGUCUCAA
Molecule: unclassified non-coding RNA, 148 nt
Organism: Macaca fascicularis (crab-eating macaque)
Lineage: Eukaryota; Metazoa; Chordata; Mammalia; Primates; Cercopithecidae
Rfam family: Metazoan signal recognition particle RNA
About the family: The signal recognition particle (SRP) is a universally conserved ribonucleoprotein. It is involved in the co-translational targeting of proteins to membranes. The eukaryotic SRP consists of a 300-nucleotide 7S RNA and six proteins: SRPs 72, 68, 54, 19, 14, and 9.
Source: Ensembl